Transfer RNA from Pestalotiopsis fici W106-1, 72 nucleotides. It matches the Rfam family "tRNA". From Rfam's summary of the family: Transfer RNA (tRNA) molecules are approximately 80 nucleotides in length. Their secondary structure includes four short double-helical elements and three loops (D, anti-codon, and T loops). The record is from Rfam. Lineage: Eukaryota; Fungi; Ascomycota; Sordariomycetes; Amphisphaeriales; Sporocadaceae.
GCGCUUAUAGUGUAGCGGUUAUCAUUCUUGCCUUCCAAGCAUGAGACUCGGGUUCGACUCCCGAUGGGCGCA